ACUGAACGCUGGCGGCAGGCUUAACACAUGCAAGUCGAGCGGGGGAAGGUAGCUUGCUACCGGACCUAGCGGCGGACGGGUGAGUAAUGCUUAGGAAUCUGCCUAUUAGUGGGGGACAACAUCUCGAAAGGGAUGCUAAUACCGCAUACGUCCUACGGGAGAAAGCAGGGGAUUUUCGGACCUUGUGCUAAUAGAUGAGCCUAAGUCAGAUUAGCUAGUUGGUGGGGUAAAGGCCUACCAAGGCGACGAUCUGUAGCGGGUCUGAGAGGAUGAUCCGCCACACUGGGACUGAGACACGGCCCAGACUCCUACGGGAGGCAGCAGUGGGGAAUAUUGGACAAUGGGGGGAACCCUGAUCCAGCCAUGCCGCGUGUGUGAAGAAGGCCUUAUGGUUAUAAAGCACUUUAAGCGAGGAGGAGGCUACUUUAGUUAAUACCUGGAGAUAGUGGACGUUACUCGCAGAAUAAGCACCGGCUAACUCUGUGCCAGCCGCCGCGGUAA
Molecule: ribosomal RNA, 501 nt
Filed under: uncultured bacterium
Lineage: Bacteria
Description: partial 16S ribosomal RNA
Rfam family: Bacterial small subunit ribosomal RNA
Source: RNAcentral